AUUACUACCGGGGGUAUAGCACUGAAUUGGCUAGGGGGCUUACCAGCUUACCAAACCAUAUCAAACUCAGAAUACCGGUAAGUAUAAUUAUGCAGUGAGACUGUGGAUGCUAAGGUCCAUAGUCGAAAGGGAAAGAGCCCAGACCAUCAGCUAAGGUCCCUAAAUCGUAUCUAAGUGGAAAAGGUUGUGAAAUUACCUAGACAUCCAGGAGGUUGGCUUAGAAGCAGCCAUCCUUUAAAGAAAGCGUAAUAGCUCACUGGACUAGUGAUUUUGCGCCGAAAAUGUAACGGGGCUAAAGAUACGUACCGAAGCUAUGGACUUUUGUAAAAAAGUGGUAGAAGAGCAUUGUGUUUACCGAUGAAGGUGUACCGUAAGGAGCGCUGGAGGUCCCACAAGAGCUGAUGGCGACAUGAGUAGCGAUAAGGGAUGUGAGAAUCAUCCCCGCCGAAAAUCUAAGGGUUCCUGGGCCAGGUGACUCCGCCCAGGGUUAGUCGGAUCCUAAGGCGAGGCCGAAAGGCGUAGUCGAUGGAUAACAGGUUAAUAUUCCUGUACUUGUUAGAUAUUGUUUGACUUGAAGGAGUGACGGAGAAAGGUAGCGAUGCCACCUAUUGGAUGGUGGUUUAAGCAUGUAGGAGGGUGAAAUAGGUAAAUCCGUUUUGCUAUUAACUCUGAGAUGUGAAUAGGAGGGCCUGGCCCGAAGAUCGUGAUCCUCUGCUUCCUAGAAAAGCUUCGCAAGGAGAUGUUUAUCAAUCCGUACCGUAAACCGACACAGGUAGAUGAGGAGAGAAUCCUCAGGCGAUUGGGUGAACUCCAGUUAAGGAACUCUGCAAAUUUGUGCCGUAACUUCGGGAGAAGGCACGCCUUUGUUGGUGACAUCACUUGCUGAUGGAGCUGAUGAGGGCCGCAGUGAAAAGGGGGUAGCGACUGUUUAUCAAAAACAUAGGUCUAUGCAAACACGUAAGUGGAAGUAUAUGGACUGACGCCUGCCCGGUGCUCGAAGGUUAAAAGGAGGGGUUAUCGUAAGAGAAGCUCUGAAUUGAAGCCCGAGUAAACGGCGGCCGUAACUAUAACGGUCCUAAGGUAGCGAAAUUCCUAGUCGGGUAAGUUCCGACCUGCACGAAUGGCGUAACGACUUCCCCACUGUCUCAACUGGAGGCCCAGCGAAAUUGGAGUGCGCGUGCAGAUACGCGCUUCCCGCGGAAGGACGAAAAGACCCCGUGAACCUUUACUGUAGCUUGGCAUUGGUUUUCGAAUAGUAAUGCGUAGGAUAGGUGGGAGCUUUUGAUGCGUGCGUUCUGGCGUACGAGUAGGCACCCUUGAAAUACCACCCUUUGCUAUUUGGAAAUCUAACCUACGAUCGUGAUCCGGUCGGGGGACAAUGUCUGGUGGGCAGUUUGACUGGGGCGGUCGCCUCCUAAAGAGUAACGGAGGCGCACAAAGGUUCCCUCAGCCCGAAUGGAAACCGGGCGUAGAGUGUAAGCGCAUAAGGGAGCUUAACUGCAAGACAGACAAGUCGAGCAGAUGCGAAAGCAGGUGCUAGUGAUCCGGUGGUUCCGUAU
Molecule: ribosomal RNA, 1559 nt
Filed under: marine metagenome
Description: bacterial LSU rRNA
Rfam family: Bacterial large subunit ribosomal RNA
Source: RNAcentral